GAUGAACGCUGGCGGCGUGCCUAAUACAUGCAAGUCGAGCGAACAGACGAGGAGCUUGCUCCUCUGACGUUAGCGGCGGACGGGUGAGUAACACGUGGAUAACCUACCUAUAAGACUGGGAUAACUUCGGGAAACCGGAGCUAAUACCGGAUAAUAUAUUGAACCGCAUGGUUCAAUAGUGAAAGACGGUUUUGCUGUCACUUAUAGAUGGAUCCGCGCCGCAUUAGCUAGUUGGUAAGGUAACGGCUUACCAAGGCAACGAUGCGUAGCCGACCUGAGAGGGGGAUCGGCCACACUGGAACUGAGACACGGUCCAGACUCCUAAGGGAGGCAGCAGUAGGGAAUCCUUCGCAAUGGGCGAAAGCCUGACGGAGCAACGCCGCGUGAGUGAUGAAGGUCUUCGGAUCGUAAAACUCUGUUAUUAGGGAAGAACAAAUGUGUAAGUAACUAUGCACGUCUUGACGGUACCUAAUCAGAAAGCCACGGCUAACUACGUG
RNAcentral lists this ribosomal RNA (497 nucleotides) under uncultured bacterium. RNAcentral's name for it is "partial 16S ribosomal RNA". It matches the Rfam family "Bacterial small subunit ribosomal RNA", at positions 28 to 507 of the family's 1533-position model. The record is from RNAcentral.